This 58-nucleotide transfer RNA is filed under the name Hygrobates taniguchii. RNAcentral describes it as "tRNA-Asn". The record is from RNAcentral. Lineage: Eukaryota; Metazoa; Arthropoda; Arachnida; Trombidiformes; Hygrobatidae.
UUGAUGAAAGCUUUAAGCGUUUUACUGUUGAUAAAAGAAAGGUUUACCCCUCAUCAAU